AUCGCUUCUCGGCCUUUUGGCUAAGAUCAAGUGUAGUAUCUGUUCUUAUCAGUUUAAUAUCUGAUACGCCCCCGAUUCGGGGCAACGUAUUAAACGCAUUUUUAGAACAGGGAGCUGAAUAAGGGGCUCGCUCCGUUCGCUCCACGCAUCGACCCGGUAUUGCAGCGCCUCCGGGAACGGUGCCCCCUUU
Oreochromis niloticus (Nile tilapia) is the source of this 190-nucleotide small nuclear RNA. Its record names the gene U2. It matches the Rfam family "U2 spliceosomal RNA". Rfam says of the family: U2 is a small nuclear RNA (snRNA) component of the spliceosome (involved in pre-mRNA splicing). Complementary binding between U2 snRNA (in an area lying towards the 5' end but 3' to hairpin I) and the branchpoint sequence (BPS) of the intron results the bulging out of an unpaired adenosine, on the BPS, which initiates a nucleophilic attack at the intronic 5' splice site, thus starting the first of two transesterification reactions that mediate splicing. The record is from Ensembl. NCBI's taxonomy places the organism in Eukaryota, Metazoa, Chordata, Actinopteri, Cichliformes, Cichlidae.